This 245-nucleotide ribosomal RNA is filed under the name uncultured Bacteroidales bacterium. RNAcentral's name for it is "partial 16S ribosomal RNA". It matches the Rfam family "Bacterial small subunit ribosomal RNA", at positions 524 to 768 of the family's 1533-position model. The record is from RNAcentral. Lineage: Bacteria; Pseudomonadati; Bacteroidota; Bacteroidia; Bacteroidales.
UACGGAGGAUGCAAGCGUUAUCCGGAUUUAUUGGGUUUAAAGGGUGCGUAGGCUGUGCGUCAAGUCAGCGGUGAAAGACCGGGGCCCAACCUCGGAAGUGCCGUUGAUACUGUCGCGCUGGAGUACCCAUGCCGUGGGAGGAAUGAGUGGUGUAGCGGUGAAAUGCAUAGAUAUCACUCAGAACACCGAUUGCGAAGGCAUCUCACGAAUGGGGGACUGACGCUGAGGCACGAAAGCGUGGGGAU